UUGAUCCUGGCUCAGAUUGAACGCUGGCGGCAGGCCUAACACAUGCAAGUCGAGCGGAAACGAGUUAUCUGAACCUUCGGGGGACGAUAACGGCGUCGAGCGGCGGACGGGUGAGUAAUGCCUAGGAAAUUGCCCUGAUGUGGGGGAUAACCAUUGGAAACGAUGGCUAAUACCGCAUGAUGCCUACGGGCCAAAGAGGGGGACCUUCGGGCCUCUCGCGUCAGGAUAUGCCUAGGUGGGAUUAGCUAGUUGGUGAGGUAAGGGCUCACCAAGGCGACGAUCCCUAGCUGGUCUGAGAGGAUGAUCAGCCACACUGGAACUGAGACACGGUCCAGACUCCUACGGGAGGCAGCAGUGGGGAAUAUUGCACAAUGGGCGCAAGCCUGAUGCAGCCAUGCCGCGUGUGUGAAGAAGGCCUUCGGGUUGUAAAGCACUUUCAGUCGUGAGGAAGGCGGGUACGUUAAUAGCGUAUUCGUUUGACGUUAGCGACAGAAGAAGCACCGGCUAACUCCGUGCCAGCAGCCGCGGUAAUACGGAGGGUGCGAGCGUUAAUCGGAAUUACUGGGCGUAAAGCGCAUGCAGGUGGUUUGUUAAGUCAGAUGUGAAAGCCCGGGGCUCAACCUCGGAAUAGCAUUUGAAACUGGCAGACUAGAGUACUGUAGAGGGGGGUAGAAUUUCAGGUGUAGCGGUGAAAUGCGUAGAGAUCUGAAGGAAUACCGGUGGCGAAGGCGGCCCCCUGGACAGAUACUGACACUCAGAUGCGAAAGCGUGGGGGAGCAAACAGGAUUAGAUACCCUGGUAGUCCACGCCGUAAACGAUGUCUACUUGGAGGUUGUGCCUUUGAGCGGUGGCUUUCGGAGCUAACGCCGUUAAGUAGAA
This 879-nucleotide ribosomal RNA is filed under the name uncultured bacterium. RNAcentral's name for it is "bacterial SSU rRNA". It matches the Rfam family "Bacterial small subunit ribosomal RNA", at positions 13 to 869 of the family's 1533-position model. The record is from RNAcentral.